CCUUCCCCCUAAACGUGUCCAAUUCACACAAACGUGUCUUUUCUUCCCAAAUGUGUCCUAAAUAUUCAAUUUUGUCCAAACCUGUCCAAUUUUAUAACCCCCAAACGUGUCCGAUAAUUGUUAUUUGCCCAAACGUGUCCACUUUAAACGCCAUAACGUCUCGCGUCUUUUCACGUUAAUACAUGUAUAUCCCAAAUGACAUCAAUAACGUUCACGGCAUUUCUGUGAUGGGAGACAUAGUUGAUGAAGUGGUCAUUUAUUAGCAUCAGUUUGUUCAAUGCCGGUUGUAACUGAUUACCAUAACUGAAAAUUCAAUCUGUAACAUAUAAUUAACUUUUGACUGAAAUUAGCUAGUUGUCCAGUUGCAAGUAGUUCAUGCUCAUUUAGAAUGAACAUACACAUAAUUCUAGAACAGAUUAAUUAAUGGUUUACUAUGUAAAUUAUGUGUUACCAAUAAUCUCCGAUCAUGCCUUUUAUUGUGCA
This 483-nucleotide long non-coding RNA is filed under the name Mytilus galloprovincialis (Mediterranean mussel). The record is from RNAcentral. Lineage: Eukaryota; Metazoa; Mollusca; Bivalvia; Mytilida; Mytilidae.